UACGGAGGGUGCAAACGUUGCUCGGAAUCACUGGGCGUAAAGGGUGCGUAGGCGGGGCUUUAAGUCAGGGGUGAAAUCCUGGAGCUCAACUCCAGAACUGCCUUUGAUACUGAGGAUCUUGAGUACGGGAGAGGUGAGUGGAACUGCGAGUGUAGAGGUGAAAUUCGUAGAUAUUCGCAAGAACACCAGUGGCGAAGGCGGCUCACUGGCCCGUAACUGACGCUGAGGCACGAAAGCGUGGGGAGCAAACAGG
Molecule: ribosomal RNA, 253 nt
Filed under: uncultured bacterium
Lineage: Bacteria
Description: partial 16S ribosomal RNA
Rfam family: Bacterial small subunit ribosomal RNA
Source: RNAcentral